GACGAACGCUGGCGGCGUGCUUAACACAUGCAAGUCGAAUGGAAAGGCCCUGCUUUUGUGGGGUGCUCGAGUGGCGAACGGGUGAGUAACACGUGAGUAACCUGCCCUUGACUUUGGGAUAACUUCAGGAAACUGGGGCUAAUACCGGAUAGGAGCUCCUGCUGCAUGGUGGGGGUUGGAAAGUUUCGGCGGUUGGGGAUGGACUCGCGGCUUAUCAGCUUGUUGGUGGGGUAGUGGCUUACCAAGGCUUUGACGGGUAGCCGGCCUGAGAGGGUGACCGGCCACAUGGGGACUGAGAUACGGCCCAGACUCCUACGGGAGGCAGCAGUGGGGAAUAUUGCACAAUGGGCGGAAGCCUGAUGCAGCAACGCCGCGUGCGGGAGGACGGCCUUCGGGUUGUAAACCGCUUUCGCCUGUGACGAAGCGUGAGUGACGGUAAUGGGGAAAGAAGCACCGGCUAACUACGU
Molecule: ribosomal RNA, 467 nt
Filed under: uncultured bacterium
Lineage: Bacteria
Description: partial 16S ribosomal RNA
Rfam family: Bacterial small subunit ribosomal RNA
Source: RNAcentral